UACGAAGGGGGCUAGCGUUGCUCGGAAUUACUGGGCGUAAAGAGCUCGUAGGCGGUUUGUCGCGUCUGCUGUGAAAACCCGAGGCUCAACCUCGGGCCUGCAGUGGGUACGGGCAGACUAGAGUGCGGUAGGGGAGAUUGGAAUUCCUGGUGUAGCGGUGGAAUGCGCAGAUAUCAGGAGGAACACCAAUGGCGAAGGCAGAUCUCUGGGCCGUAACUGACGCUGAGGAGCGAAAGCAUGGGGAGCGAACAGG
RNAcentral lists this ribosomal RNA (253 nucleotides) under uncultured bacterium. RNAcentral's name for it is "partial 16S ribosomal RNA". It matches the Rfam family "Bacterial small subunit ribosomal RNA", at positions 524 to 776 of the family's 1533-position model. The record is from RNAcentral.